This 492-nucleotide ribosomal RNA is filed under the name uncultured bacterium. RNAcentral describes it as "partial 16S ribosomal RNA". It matches the Rfam family "Bacterial small subunit ribosomal RNA", at positions 29 to 507 of the family's 1533-position model. The record is from RNAcentral.
AGUGAACGCUGGCGGUAGGCCUAACACAUGCAAGUCGAACGGCAGCACAGUAAGAGCUUGCUCUUACGGGUGGCGGGUGGCGGACGGGUGAGGAAUACAUCGGAAUCUACUUUUUCGUGGGGGAUAACGUAGGGAAACUUACGCUAAUACCGCAUACGACCUACGGGUGAAAGCAGGGGAUCUUCGGACCUUGCACGAUUGAAUGAGCCGAUGUCGGAUUAGCUAGUUGGCGGGGUAAAGGCCCACCAAGGCGACGAUCCGUAGCUGGUCUGAGAGGAUGAUCAGCCACACUGGAACUGAGACACGGUCCAGACUCCUACGGGAGGCAGCAGUGGGGAAUAUUGGACAAUGGGCGCAAGCCUGAUCCAGCCAUACCGCGUGGGUGAAGAAGGCCUUCGGGUUGUAAAGCCCUUUUGUUGGGAAAGAAAAGCAGCAGGUUAAUACCCCGCUGUUCUGACGGUACCCAAAGAAUAAGCACCGGCUAACUUCGUG